This 112-nucleotide non-coding RNA is filed under the name Aureimonas ureilytica. Its description in RNAcentral is "TPP sequence". It matches the Rfam family "TPP riboswitch aptamer (THI element)". From Rfam's summary of the family: Vitamin B(1) in its active form thiamin pyrophosphate (TPP) is an essential coenzyme that is synthesised by coupling of pyrimidine and thiazole moieties in bacteria. The previously detected thiamin-regulatory element, thi box was extended, resulting in a new, highly conserved RNA secondary structure, the THI element, which is widely distributed in eubacteria and also occurs in some archaea. Analysis of operon structures identified a large number of new candidate thiamin-regulated genes, mostly transporters, in various prokaryotic organisms. Lineage: Bacteria; Pseudomonadati; Pseudomonadota; Alphaproteobacteria; Hyphomicrobiales; Aurantimonadaceae. The record is from RNAcentral.
GAAGCAUCCAGGGGGAGUUCCAGCAGCGGAACUGAGAGGCCGGAGCACGAUCCGGCGACCCCACGAACCUGAUCCAGUUCGCACUGGCGUAGGGAUGGAGCGUUUGCGCCUC